Molecule: ribosomal RNA, 468 nt
Filed under: uncultured bacterium
Lineage: Bacteria
Description: partial 16S ribosomal RNA
Rfam family: Bacterial small subunit ribosomal RNA
Source: RNAcentral
GACGAACACUGGCGGCGUGCUUAACACAUGCAAGUCGAACGGAAAGGCCCUGCUUUUGUGGGGUGCUCGAGUGGCGAACGGGUGAGUAACACGUGAGUAACCUGCCCUUGACUUUGGGAUAACUUCAGGAAACUGGAGCUAAUACCGGAUAGGAGCUCCUGCUGCAUGGUGGGGGUUGGAAAGUUUCGGCGGUUGGGGAUGGACUCGCAGCUUAUCAGCUUGUUGGUUGGGUAGUGUCUUACCAAGGCUUUGACGGGUAGCCGGCCUGAGAGGGUGACCGGACACAUUGGGACUGAAAUACGGCACAGACUCCUAUGGGAGGCAGCAGUGGGGAAGAUUGCACAAGGGGAGGAAGCAUGAUGUAGCAACGCCACGAGCGGGAAGAGAGCAUUCGGGUUGUAAACCGCUUUCGCCUGUGACGAAGCGUGAGUGACGGUAAUGGGUAAAGAAGCACCGGCUAACUACGUG